GGGGUUGUGGCUCAGUGGUAGAGUGCUCGCCUAAAAUGCUUGAUGGACUGAGUUCGAUCCUCAGCACCACA
Molecule: transfer RNA, 71 nt
Filed under: Marmota monax (woodchuck)
Lineage: Eukaryota; Metazoa; Chordata; Mammalia; Rodentia; Sciuridae
Description: tRNA.Phe
Rfam family: tRNA
About the family: Transfer RNA (tRNA) molecules are approximately 80 nucleotides in length. Their secondary structure includes four short double-helical elements and three loops (D, anti-codon, and T loops).
Source: RNAcentral